Eptesicus fuscus (big brown bat) is the source of this 104-nucleotide small nuclear RNA. The record is from RefSeq and is a predicted model, not a curated record. Lineage: Eukaryota; Metazoa; Chordata; Mammalia; Chiroptera; Vespertilionidae.
GUGCUCGCUUCGGCAGCACAUAUACUGAAAGUGGGACAAUACAGAGAUUAGCAUGGCCCCUGUGCAGGGGUGACACCCAAAUUCAUGAAGUGUUCCAUAUUUUA